GAGACUAAGAUGCCGUGAGCCGUGGUGAGAGUUAGGGGGCAAGCAGUGUCCGGUUUUGUUGGGCGGAAAGGGCGUGUAGGCGGCCGACCAGGUCACCUAGGAAAACUCGAGGCUCAACCUCGAGACGUCGGUUGAAACCGUACGGCUAGAGUCCGGAAGAGGGGAGUGGAAUUCCCGGUGUAGCGGUGAAAUGCGCAGAUAUCGGGAAGAACACCCGUGGCGAAGGCGGCUCUCUGGGACGGUACUGACGCUGAGACGCGAAAGCGUGGGGAGCGAACAGGAUUAGAUACCCCUGUAGUC
Molecule: ribosomal RNA, 300 nt
Filed under: uncultured Bacillus sp.
Lineage: Bacteria; Bacillati; Bacillota; Bacilli; Caryophanales; Bacillaceae
Description: bacterial SSU rRNA
Rfam family: Bacterial small subunit ribosomal RNA
Source: RNAcentral